GUGUAGAAUAGGUGGGAGGCUUUGAAGCUGGCGCGCUAGCGUCGGUGGAGCCUCCAGUGAAAUACCACCCUGAUUAUGUUUAGAUCCUAACCCCAUUCCGUAAUCCGGAUGGGGGACCGUGCCAGGUGGGCAGUUUGACUGGGGCGGUCGCCUCCUAAAAGGUAACGGAGGCGCCCAAAAGGUUCCCUCAGGUGGAAUGGAAACCCACCAUAGAGUGUAAAGGCAUAAGGGAGCUUGACUGUAAGGCCAACGCGCCGAACAGAGACGAAAGUCGGGCUUAGUGAUCCCACAAUACCGAGUGGAAGGGUUGUGGCUUACCGGAUAAAAGCUACCCCGGGGAUAACAGGCUGGUGAGAUCCAAGAGUUCACAUCGACGAUCUCGCUCGGCACCUCGAUGUCGGCUCAUCGCAUCCUGGGGCUGGACAAGGUCCCAAGGGUCGGGCUGUUCGCCCGUUAAAGCGGUACGCGAGCUGGG
Molecule: ribosomal RNA, 475 nt
Filed under: uncultured bacterium
Lineage: Bacteria
Description: bacterial LSU rRNA
Rfam family: Bacterial large subunit ribosomal RNA
Source: RNAcentral